UUGGCCACGGACCCAGAACCCAGUCUAGUAUCCAAGUCGGAACCAGUUUGGCGAGGGACCCAGUCCUUCCCCGAACCCAGUUCUGUUUCCAAGUCGGACCCAGUUUGGCCACGGACCCAGCUCUGUUUGCAAGUAGGAGCCAGUUCAGCUCCGGCUGGUUUCCGAGAACGACACGGACGUGCUCGGGGCCUAAAGCUCCUACGGAGGCGCCUUGGAGCUGGGGUCUGAGAGCGACUCACCCGCAACCCGCAGAGGCCGCAGAAAGCAGCAGCUCCGGGGGCUCCGCAGUGGCCUGAUCUCAGCUAGCCGUUAAGGAGGGAGAUGAUCUGUGCAGAUUGAUUGACCUACCAGAGAGCAGAAUUGAAGAAUGUUGUGGUUUUACUUGAGAGGGAGACACAUUGGCCUCCUGCCAGUUCUUCAAAAGGUUCCUUCCAGCCUCAUGGAAUGUGGUCGCCUCUCCCUGGAAUGCUGUUCCCCCUGC
Molecule: long non-coding RNA, 481 nt
Organism: Myotis brandtii (Brandt's bat)
Lineage: Eukaryota; Metazoa; Chordata; Mammalia; Chiroptera; Vespertilionidae
Exons: 4
Source: RefSeq, a predicted model, not a curated record